UGGGGAAUAUUGGACAAUGGGCGCAAGCCUGAUCCAGCCAUGCCGCGUGUGUGAAGAAGGCCCUAGGGUUGUAAAGCACUUUCAGUAGGGAGGAAAAGCUUAAAGUUAAUACCUUUAAGCCCUGACGUUACCUACAGAAGAAGCACCGGCUAACUCCGUGCCAGCAGCCGCGGUAAUACGGAGGGUGCAAGCGUUAAUCGGAAUUACUGGGCGUAAAGCGCGCGUAGGCUGUCAGAUAAGCGGGAUGUGAAAGCCCUGGGCUCAACCUAGGAACUGCACCCCGAACUAUCUGACUAGAGUGCAGUAGAGGGUGGUGGAAUUUCCAGUGUAGCGGUGAAAUGCGUAGAGAU
RNAcentral lists this ribosomal RNA (350 nucleotides) under uncultured bacterium. RNAcentral's name for it is "bacterial SSU rRNA". It matches the Rfam family "Bacterial small subunit ribosomal RNA", at positions 355 to 697 of the family's 1533-position model. The record is from RNAcentral.